This 380-nucleotide long non-coding RNA is filed under the name Prunus persica (peach). RNAcentral's name for it is "long non-coding RNA (PPER_LNC001326)". The record is from RNAcentral. Lineage: Eukaryota; Viridiplantae; Streptophyta; Magnoliopsida; Rosales; Rosaceae.
UGUGCUGUGAUAUAUUAGUUUAGUAAAGUAGUCAAUGAACCUAAAAACUGAAAAACAUGCAUGCUUCUAAACUUUAGUUUGGUCAUUUUCCAUUUGUGCCUCCAAAUGGAUAGGCGCAACAUUGCAUAUGCCUAUAGGAGGAGCUUCCAUAAAACAAAGACAAAAAUUAAAAAAAACUGGCUUUUGACGAAACAUCAUAAAUGAAAAGAUGACAAAUGUGUUGUUAUGGAUGUUAACCUUUUAAUGUUUUGUACGUGCACGGUUCAUCAGACACAACGAUCUCCACCACAAUCAUAACACGUAAACUUGCUUUGACAUAAUUGGCGGCUUAAUUAUAAUUAGUAACUGCACUGCAGACUGUUUCAGCUACUCAAAGUCGU